RNAcentral lists this ribosomal RNA (444 nucleotides) under Streptococcus mitis. RNAcentral describes it as "bacterial SSU rRNA". It matches the Rfam family "Bacterial small subunit ribosomal RNA", at positions 28 to 456 of the family's 1533-position model. The record is from RNAcentral. Lineage: Bacteria; Bacillati; Bacillota; Bacilli; Lactobacillales; Streptococcaceae.
GACGAACGCUGGCGGCGUGCCUAAUACAUGCAAGUAGAACGCUGAAGGAGGAGCUUGCUUCUCUGGAUGAGUUGCGAACGGGUGAGUAACGCGUAGGUAACCUGCCUGGUAGCGGGGGAUAACUAUUGGAAACGAUAGCUAAUACCGCAUAAGAGUAGAUGUUGCAUGACAUUUGCUUAAAAGGUGCAAUUGCAUCACUACCAGAUGGACCUGCGUUGUAUUAGCUAGUUGGUGAGGUAACGGCUCACCAAGGCAACGAUACAUAGCCGACCUGAGAGGGUGAUCGGCCACACUGGGACUGAGACACGGCCCAGACUCCUACGGGAGGCAGCAGUAGGGAAUCUUCGGCAAUGGACGGAAGUCUGACCGAGCAACGCCCGCGUGAGUGAAAGAAAGGGUUUUUCGGGAUUCGUAAAAGCUUCUGUUGUAAAGAAGAAAGAAACG